This 2900-nucleotide ribosomal RNA is filed under the name marine metagenome. Its description in RNAcentral is "bacterial LSU rRNA". It matches the Rfam family "Bacterial large subunit ribosomal RNA". The record is from RNAcentral.
AGGGCUCACGGUGAAUGCCUUGGGAUCAAGGACCGAUGAAGGGCGCGGUAAGGCUGCGAUAAGCCUCGAUUAGCCGUCUAACGGGCUUAGUCGAGGAUUCCCGAAUGGGGAAACCUGUUCCGGUGUUGAGCCGGUUCAUCUGCAUAGCAGAGGGUAAGUGGGGGAACUGAAACAUCUAAGUACCCCGAGGAAAAUAAAUCAACCGAGAUUCUCUUAGUAGUGGCGAACGAACGGGGAAUAGGCCAAACCCCUAUGACUUAGUGGUGUAAGGACCUAUGUCAUAGCGGUGUCGUAGGAGGCAUCUGAAAUCGCCUUGCCAGAUUUCAAGAAGUUACAAAACAUGAGUUUAGUCGAAGGACCCUGGGAAGGGCCGUCGUAGAGGGUGAUAGCCCCGUAGACGAAAAGUUCAUGUCUUCUGAUGCAUUUCCUAAGUACCACGGGACACGAGAAAUCUUGUGGGAAGUCGGGGGGACCACCCUCCAAGCCUAAAUAUCCUUGAUCACCGAUAGCGAACAAGUACCGUGAGGGAAAGGUGAAAAGAACCCCUAGCGGGGAGUGAAAUAGACCUGAAACCGUGAGCUUACAGAAGGUCGUAGUCCUGAUUUAUCAGGAUGUCGGCGUGCCUAUUGAAGAAUGAUCCAGGGAGUUACUUUAUGUAGCGAGGUUAAGAAACUGUAGUUUCGGAGCCGAAGCGAAAGCGAGUCUGAAUAGGGCGACUAGUUUCAUAGAGUAGACACGAAACCGAGUGAGCUAACCAUGGCCAGAUUGAAGGUCCGGUAACACGGACUGAAGGAUCGAACCCGUAGCUGGUACAAAAGCUUGGGAUGAGCUGUGGUUAGAGGAGAAAUUCCAAUCGAACUCGGAAAUAGCUUGUUCUCCCCGAAAUGUAUUUAGGUACAGCCUCGGAUUAAAGAUGAACGGAGGUAGGGCACUGAAUGGGCUAGGGGCCGUAAGGUUACCAAACCCAAUCAAACCACCAAUGCCGUUUAAUUGUUAUCCGGGAGUGAGACAGUCACAGAUAAGUGCGAUUGUCAAAAGGGAAACAGCCCAGACCACCGGCUAAGGCCCCCAAGUGCGGGCUAAGUGGGAAACGAGGUGGGAUUCCCUAGACAACUAGGAGGUUGGCUUAGAAGCAGCCAUCCUUUAAAGAGUGCGUAAUAGCUCACUAGUCAAGGGGUCCUGCGCGGAAAAUGUAACGGGGCUAAAGCCCGUCGCCGAAGCCGUGGAUUUUAGUAUGUAUGUACUGGGAUGGUAGGGGAGCGUUCCUCGGGCAGUGAAGUUGUAUCGUGAGGUACAGUGGAGCGCGGGGAAGUGAGAAUCCUGGAAUGAGUAGCGUUAACAAGGGUGAGAAUCCCUUGCGCCGGAAGCCCAAGGUUUCCUACGCAAUGUUUAUCAGCGUAGGGUUAGUCGGUCCUAAGCCGUAGGCAAAUGCCGAAGGCGAUGGACAGCAGGUUAAUAUUCCUGCACCGCCUGUUUUUUGUUGAUACUCGGAGGGGUGCGGAAGGGUAGAUAGGGCGUGCCUAUUGGACAUGGUACGUUCUUGACUGUAGGUAGUUGGAGCAGGAAAAUCCACUCCAACGUUACACUGAGAGUCGAGAAAAUCGGAUCCUACGGGAGUAAGAAAUCCUAUUGAACCCAAGCCGACUAGAAAAGCUUCGUUUGUAGAAACUCAGGCGACCGUACCGCAAACCGCCACUGGUGGGCAGGUAUAAAAGUACCAAGGCGUGCGAGAUAACCUCCGUUAAGGAACUAGACAAAAGAGCCCUGUAACUUUGGGAGAAAGGGCCCCCCGGAUGGUGAAGGCCACUUGCUGGCACAGCUUUUUGGGGGCGCAGAGAAGAAGCCCGGGCGACUGUUUAACAAAAACACAGGUCUGUGCUAAGGGGAAACCCUACGUAUACAGGCUGACACCUGCCCAGUGCUGGAAGGUUAAGGGGAGGGGUGAGAGCCUCGAACUGAAGCCCCAGUGAACGGCGGCCGUAACUCUAACGGUCCUAAGGUAGCGAAGUCCCUUGUCGGGUAAGUUCCGACCCGCAUGAAUGGUUGAACGACUUGGGCAUUGUCUCAACGGAGGGCUCGGUGAAAUUGCGGUGCCCGUGAAGACGCGGGCGACCUGCGGCAGGACAAAAAGACCCCGUGGAGCUUUACUGUAGCCUGGUAUUGGGCUGGGAGCUGUCAUGUGUAGGAUAGGUGGGAGGCUAUGAAAUUCUUGCGCCAGUGAGAAUGGAGCCAUUGUUGAAAUACCACCCUUGGCUGUUUUUGGUUCUAACCUCAGCAAAACUGAGGGACAAUGCCUGGUAGGCAGUUUGACUGGGGCGGUCGCCUCCUAAAAGGUAACGGAGGCGCCCAAAGGUUCACUCAGGACGGAUGGAAAUCGUCUGCAGAACGCAUUGGCAUAAGUGAGCUUGACUGCGAGACCUACAAGUCGAGCAGAGACGAAAGUCGGGCAAAGUGAUCCCACGGUCCCGUGUGGAAGGGCCGUGGCUUAACGGAUAAAAGCUACCCCGGGGAUAACAGGCUUAUCUCCCCCAAGAGUUCACAUCGACGGGGAGGUUUGGCACCUCGAUGUCGGCUCGUCCUAUCCUGGGGCUGGAGGCGGUCCCAAGGGUCCGGCUGUUCGCCGGUUAAAAGGGUACGCGAGCUGGGUUCAGAACGUCGUGAGACAGUUCGGUCUCUAUCCGCCGUGGGCGUAGGAGACUUGAGGGUACAUCUCCCUAGUACGAGAGGACCGGGAGGUACACACCUAUGGUGUUCCAGUUGUCCCGCCAGGGGCAUCGCUGGGUAGCUAUGUGUGGAAGUGAUAACCGCUGAAGGCAUCUAAGCGGGAAGCAUCCCCCAAGAUUAGGUCUCCCUUCCUGAUUAAAUUCGGGAGUAAGACAGCAGAGAGACUAUCUGCUUGA